GUCUUCCGCGUCGGGCCGUGCACAAGUCUCCUGGAAUGGAGCGUCGUAGAGGGUGAGAAUCCCGUCUCUGGCAUGGACCUCCGGUGCUUUUGUGAUGCGCUCUCAAAGAGUCGAGUUGUUUGGGAAUGCAGCUCAAAAUGGGUGGUGAACUCCAUCUAAAGCUAAAUAUUGGCGAGAGACCGAUAGCGAACAAGUACCGUGAGGGAAAGAUGAAAAGCACUUUGGAAAGAGAGUGAAACAGUACGUGAAAUUGUUGAAAGGGAAACGCUUCAAGUCAGUCGCGUCGACCGAGACUCAGCCUCGCCUCGGCUUGGUGUACUUCUCGGCUGACGGGCCAGCAUCAAUUUCGUCCCUCGGAUAAUGGCAAGGGAAAGGUGGCACCCUUACGGGUGUGUUAUAGUCUCCUGUCGCAUGCGAGGGGUGGGAUUGAGGACCUCAGCGCGCGCCGAAAGGCGUCGGGGCUUCGGCCCACGCUACGCGCUUAGGAUGUUGGCGUAAUGGCUUUAAACGACCCGUCUUGAAACACGGACCAAGGAGUCUAACAUGCCCGCGAGUGUUCGGGUGGAAAACCCGUGCGCGAAAUGAAAGUGAAAGUUGGGACCUCUGUCGUGGAGGGCACCGACGCCCGGACCAGACCUUCUGUGACGGAUCUGCGGUA
RNAcentral lists this ribosomal RNA (658 nucleotides) under Lactifluus clarkeae. RNAcentral's name for it is "partial large subunit ribosomal RNA". It matches the Rfam family "Eukaryotic large subunit ribosomal RNA", at positions 160 to 797 of the family's 3401-position model. The record is from RNAcentral. Lineage: Eukaryota; Fungi; Basidiomycota; Agaricomycetes; Russulales; Russulaceae.